This 510-nucleotide long non-coding RNA is filed under the name Bos taurus (domestic cattle). RNAcentral's name for it is "long non-coding RNA NONBTAT010760". The record is from RNAcentral. Lineage: Eukaryota; Metazoa; Chordata; Mammalia; Artiodactyla; Bovidae.
AUUUUAUACUCUUGAUAUCUUUGUGAAAUGUGGAAGAGGUCUGAAUUCUCCUUGCAGAUAAGGAAAUGAAAAAACAACAUGAAAUAUAAUUUGGCUGGUCAGAAUCAAGCCAAAGUUUUCUGUAUAGGUUUUCUUUAUCUUAUACAUGUAUAUAAAUGCAUAGAUUAAGGCAAUAGGAACCUGAAACUGUGGCAUAUAAUAAUACUACAGAAUAUAGUCUCCUUUUUCCCUUUUUUGAUGAAGCCUAUCAGUUUUUUUGGUGUGUGUAUUAUUGGCCCAUAACACUUUAGUAACACUUUGCUGAGUCUUCUUGUUAUAAAACAUUCAAAUUCUGAAAAAUGAGUAAUCUCAGAGAAAUAUAAUUUAGUGAUAGAAUUAAGUAGAUAUCAGAAGUAUCUAUGGAAGAAGGUUAAAAUAGGUGAAUUAAUGUUAACAGGUAACAUGCUGUAAUCAUGUAGUACCUAUUAAAAUAGAAACGUUUCUUCUGAUAUUAUAAUAAACAGUUAAUGG